GAUGAACGCUGGCGGUAGGCCUAACACAUGCAAGUCGAACGGCAGCACAGAGGAGCUUGCUCCUUGGGUGGCGAGUGGCGGACGGGUGAGGAAUACAUCGGAAUCUACUUUUUCGUGGGGGAUAACGUAGGGAAACUUACGCUAAUACCGCAUACGACCUACGGGUGAAAGCAGGGGACCUUCGGGCCUUGCGCGAUUGAAUGAGCCGAUGUCGGAUUAGCUAGUUGGCGGGGUAAAGGCCCACCAAGGCGACGAUCCGUAGCUGGUCUGAGAGGAUGAUCAGCCACACUGGAACUGAGACACGGUCCAGACUCCUACGGGAGGCAGCAGUGGGGAAUAUUGGACAAUGGGCGCAAGCCUGAUCCAGCCAUACCGCGUGGGUGAAGAAGGCCUUCGGGUUGUAAAGCCCUUUUGUUGGGAAAGAAAUCCAGCCGGCUAAUACCUGGUUGGGAUGACGNACCCAAAGAAUAAGC
Molecule: ribosomal RNA, 473 nt
Filed under: Stenotrophomonas sp. C2-4
Lineage: Bacteria; Pseudomonadati; Pseudomonadota; Gammaproteobacteria; Lysobacterales; Lysobacteraceae
Description: bacterial SSU rRNA
Rfam family: Bacterial small subunit ribosomal RNA
Source: RNAcentral